UUGUGCACUUCCUACGGCUUCCACUAGAUGUCAACAGUCUUUACAAAGUUGUUUGAGUCGUCUAUGUUGAACAGAGAUCGAAUUUCAAGGAGGGGAACUUGUUGAGGUAGAGAAUGACAUCACUUCUUGGCGCACGUUCAUGAGGAUGGAUCCUCCCAUUCCAAAACCUUUUUCAAGACACAGGAACCGUCCGGAUGAAAUAUUACUGAAUCUUCACGUUCUGAAGGCCCUAAAGAUUGAUGUUUUACAACGUUUGACAUGUUUGAACGAACGUAAAUACAACUUUUUUUUACUUUUCGUCGCGACAUCGUCUGCGCGCUUUCUACAUUUGGAGUAGCUUACUGAACGCGCUAACAACAAGGAGUUAUUUCGACAAAUUAUGGACUUUAUCGAACAAAACAACAUUUGUUGUGGACCUGGGAUCCUGGAAGUGCCUUCUGAUGAAGAUCAUCAAAGGGUAGUGAGGUCUGCACAACGCAUCACUACCUGCCCUUCAGGACACCUCCAGGAUGCCUACACCACCCGAUGUCACAGGAAGGCCAAAAAGAUCAUCAAGGACAACAACCACCCGAGCCACUGCCGGUUCACCCCGCUAUCAUCCAGAACGCGAGGUCAGUACAGGUGCAUCAAAGUGGGGACCGAGAGACUGAAAAACAGCUUCUAUCUCAAGGCCACCAGACUGUUAAACAGCCAUCACUUACAUUGAGUGGCUGCUGCCAACAUACUGACUCAUCUCUAGCCACUUUAAUAAUGACAAAUAUUAUGUAAUAAAUGUAUCACUAGCCACUUUAAACAAUGCCACUUUAUAUAAUGUUUACAUACCCUACAUUACUCAUCUCAUAUGUAUAUACUGUACUCUAUACCAUCUACUGCAUCUUGCCUAUGCCGUUCGGCCAUCGCUCAUUUAUAUAUUCUUAUGUACAUGUUCAUAUUCAUUCCUUUACACUUGUGUGUAUAAGGCAGUUGUGAAAUUGAUAGAUUACUUGUUAGAUAUUACUGCAUGGUCGGAACUAGAAGCACAAGCAUUCCACUACACUCUCAUUAACAUCUGCUAACCAUGUGUAUGUGAC
This 1070-nucleotide long non-coding RNA is filed under the name Salmo salar (Atlantic salmon). Its description in RNAcentral is "lncRNA (ENSSSAG00000106723.1)". The record is from RNAcentral. Lineage: Eukaryota; Metazoa; Chordata; Actinopteri; Salmoniformes; Salmonidae.